This 473-nucleotide ribosomal RNA is filed under the name Oligodon cinereus (Guenther's kukri snake). Its description in RNAcentral is "partial large subunit ribosomal RNA". It matches the Rfam family "Bacterial large subunit ribosomal RNA", at positions 1856 to 2591 of the family's 2925-position model. The record is from RNAcentral. Lineage: Eukaryota; Metazoa; Chordata; Lepidosauria; Squamata; Colubridae.
CGCCUGCCCAGUGAACAUUAAACGGCCGCGGUAUCCUAACCGUGCAAAGGUAGCAUAAUCAUUUGUCUACUAAUUAUAGACCUGUAUGAAAGGCAAAAUGAGAGUCUAACUGUCUCUUAUAACAAAUCAAUUAAACUGAUCUCCUAGUAAAAAAGCUAGAAUUUAACCAUAAGACCAGAAGACCCUGUGAAGCUUAAACUAAAAUAUUAAACCACAUAAUAAAUACUUUCGGUUGGGGCGACCUUGGAAAAAAACACAACUUCCAAUAAUACGACCUCCCUCGUACUACAAUACCAGGCUUACAAGCCAACUAAUGACCCAGCAAAGCUGACAAUCGAACCAAGUUACUCCAGGGAUAACAGCGCAAUCCUCUUCAAGAGCCCAUAUCAAAAAGAGGGUUUACGACCUCGAUGUUGGAUCGAGACAUCCUAAUGGUGCAGACGCUAUUAAGGGUUCGUUUGUUCAACGAUUAA